UUCGCCACGCCCGCUCAAGAAACUUAAAGGAAUUGACGGGGGCCCGCACAAGCGGUGGAGCAUGUGGUUUAAUUCGAUGAUACGCGAGGAACCUUACCUGGGCUCAAAUGUAUGUUGACGUAUUCUGAAAGGGAUACUUCUUCGGACAAUAUACAAGGUGCUGCAUGGUUGUCGUCAGCUCGUGCCGUGAGGUGUCGGGUUAAGUCCCGCAACGAGCGCAACCCUUGCCUUUAGUUGCCAGCAGUUCGGCUGGGCACUCUAAAGGGACUGCCGGUGUUAAACCGGAGGAAGGUGGGGAUGACGUCAAGUCCUCAUGGCCUUUAUGACCAGGGCUACACACGUACUACAAUGGCCGAUACAAAGGGCAGCGACACUGCGAGGUGAAGCCAAUCCCGUAAAAUCGGUCUCAGUCCGGAUUGGAGUCUGCAACUCGACUCCAUGAAGUUGGAAUCGCUAGUAAUCGUGGAUCAGCAUGCCACGGUGAAUACGUUCCCGGGCCUU
This 501-nucleotide ribosomal RNA is filed under the name uncultured Desulfobulbus sp. RNAcentral describes it as "bacterial SSU rRNA". It matches the Rfam family "Bacterial small subunit ribosomal RNA", at positions 903 to 1382 of the family's 1533-position model. Lineage: Bacteria; Pseudomonadati; Thermodesulfobacteriota; Desulfobulbia; Desulfobulbales; Desulfobulbaceae. The record is from RNAcentral.